GACGAACGCUGGCGGCGUGCUUAACACAUGCAAGUCGAGCGGUAAGGCCCUUUCGGGGGUACACGAGCGGCGAACGGGUGAAUAACACGUGGGUGACCUGCCCUCAGCUCUGGGAUAAGCCUGGGAAACCGGGUCUAAUACCGGAUAUGACUCCAUGACGCAUGUUGUGGGGUGGAAAGCCUUGUGCGGCUGAGGAUGGGCCCGCGGCCUAUCAGCUUGUUGGUGGGGUGANGGCCUACCAAGGCGACGACGGGUAGCCGGCCUGAGAGGGCGACCGGCCACACUGGGACUGAGACACGGCCCAGACUCCUACGGGAGGCAGCAGUGGGGAAUCUUGCGCAAAUGGGCGAAAGCCUGACGCAGCGACGCCGCGUGAGGGAUGACGGCC
Molecule: ribosomal RNA, 388 nt
Filed under: uncultured bacterium
Lineage: Bacteria
Description: bacterial SSU rRNA
Rfam family: Bacterial small subunit ribosomal RNA
Source: RNAcentral